Camelina sativa (false flax) is the source of this 375-nucleotide long non-coding RNA. RefSeq lists it as uncharacterized. NCBI's taxonomy places the organism in Eukaryota, Viridiplantae, Streptophyta, Magnoliopsida, Brassicales, Brassicaceae. The record is from RefSeq and is a predicted model, not a curated record.
GGCCUCUGUUAUAUCCUUGAUUGUGUCAAAUGCGCUGCUUGGGAGUCAAUCAGCUUUCACAGUUCCCUCAUACGACCUGCAGACCGCUGCAGUCUAAAGAGGUUAAAGAGAAGGCGGCUCAAUGAGGAAGCUAACGUUGAAGACAUUUCAUCAACUGCACCUUCUGCAAGCCAACUCUGAUUCGAGGACUAAUUAGGGAUGAGUUGUUAUUUUGGGAUUUUAUAAACUGCAACAUGCAUACCUUAUAUUUUUGACACCUCUAUAACUAUGUUCAACGGUGGGUUUGACACUUCUAUAACUAUGCUCAACAGUGGGUUUAAUUGUAAUUGUGAGAAUAUGGUGAGAGAAUAUGAUAUUACACCUUUUAGUUAUACA